AUGGCCAAGUCUACUAGUAUCAGCUUUGGUCUAAUUUUUUUACUUAUUCUCAUUAUGAUGUUUAUUGUUGAAACUCGAGCAGCACCAAUAGUUGCAGUCCCAACAUGUGACACAAUUCAUGGAGUGGGAAAAGCUGAAACUUGCUCCAGCAUCAUUCAAAAGUUCAACCUAGUUGAAAGUCACUUCCUUGAGAUCAAUCCUAACAUUAGCUGUGUUGGUAUCUUUGUGGGCCAGUGGGUGUGUAUAGAGGGUCAAGUGAAUUGA
Non-coding RNA from Vicia faba (fava bean), 264 nucleotides. The record is from the annotation of a GenBank genome assembly. NCBI's taxonomy places the organism in Eukaryota, Viridiplantae, Streptophyta, Magnoliopsida, Fabales, Fabaceae.